Molecule: ribosomal RNA, 468 nt
Filed under: uncultured bacterium
Lineage: Bacteria
Description: partial 16S ribosomal RNA
Rfam family: Bacterial small subunit ribosomal RNA
Source: RNAcentral
GACGAACGCUGGCGGCGUGCUUAACACAUGCAAGUCGAACGGAAAGGCCCUGCUUUUGUGGGGUGCUCGAGUGGCGAACGGGUGAGUAACACGUGAGUAACCUGCCCUUGACUUUGGGAUAACUUCAGGAAACUGGGGCUAAUACCGGAUAGGAGCUCCUGCUGCAUGGUGGGGGUUGGAAAGUUUCGGCGGUUGGGGAUGGACUCGCGGCCUAUCAGCUUGUUGGUGGGGUAGUGGCUUACCAAGGCUUUGACGGGUAGCCGGCCUGAGAGGGUGACCGGCAACAUGGGGACUAAGAGAGGCCCAAGACGCCAAGGGGAGGAAACGGGGGGAAAUUUUGACCAGUGGGGGGAAGCUUGUGGCAACAACGCCGCGUGCGGGAGAAGGGCUUUCGGGUUAAAAACAGCUUUCGCAUUAAACGAAGGGUGAGUGACGGUAAUGGAUAAAAAAGCACGGGCUAACUACGUG